Molecule: long non-coding RNA, 1148 nt
Organism: Anguilla rostrata (American eel)
Lineage: Eukaryota; Metazoa; Chordata; Actinopteri; Anguilliformes; Anguillidae
Exons: 4
Source: RefSeq, a predicted model, not a curated record
UAAUGGGGAAAAGAGAGCUCGAUGGGCGUGCUUGGGCUGUCCGUCAGAUCUCGGAUAUGCUCUGAUGACCUCACGUCCUGUGACAAAUCAGUAUUAACCACUGGCGCAGAGCUGCAAGCGUUUGCGUUUCUCGGGUCCUUGAUGCCUGAACCCAUUCUUUGCAUAAUAUGAUGUAAGAGGGGCUGGCCAAAGAGAGCAGACCUGCUGGAAUACGAUUGGAGGGGAGUGGAAACCCUCAGGAAUUCAGUGAUUUGUACCAGUGGAUUGGCUGGACCACAGCUGAGUGGCAGGGCUUUUAAUUCCACUUUGCAGAGUGAUCAAGGUCAACAAACAGAGCCAACGGGGAAAACUGGAUUCCCGUAUUUGUCUUGAAUUGGCCGUGUCACUGGGCUGGAACCGGGCCACGCGUUUUCGCCCCUCUGUUUGGGCCUGUUGUUCCGACUCAUCAAGUGACUCAACAUGGGCCUGAGUGCUGAGUUUGGGCAUCGGGGCCUUUUUCUAAGAGGCGUUAAAGGAGGAAGGACAUUCCUAGACGAUGAACCUUAAUGCGCGGCAUGCCUCCAGUGUUGUGAAGAAUCAUCGCUGAGCAGAGCUGAGCUGCGUGAGCGUUAUUGGGAGCUCGCGGUCAAGGGCGAUUUUUCUGAGUGAAGUCGCCACGGCCGCCGUACAUCACGCACGCUCGCCCUCCCGGGCCCCGGCCAUUAUCCGCCAACGUCGUGAUCCUCGCGCACAAAAAAAGCGCGCCGCUCUAAUUUACUGCGCCGUGAUAGAUUUACGCCCUCCUCCCCAUUAGUGUGUACAUUACCCUCAGCGUGUUAUGCAAUGGUGUUAGGAAGAUUUAGGGAAAGGAUAACAAGCAAUAAAUUUGACGUCUUUUGCGGUGAGAACCUUUCUGCCGUCCGUCCCGCUGUGCUCCCAUUGGUGGGGGGUGGGGGGGGUUUAAAAACACGCCUCUCGGGGCUUGGGUGAAAACGUCCUGAGGAUGAGGGCGUGGUCCCCUCAUUAACCUCCAUGAUGGUCUGUGGGUACUUUAGUGAGGACUGCGAGAGAUAAGGGCACAGAAUACCAGCUGAGACUUGUGCUGGAAUGACCAGCAUUGGGAACUUAAAAACACUGUAAAUAAAUGCCUUGUGUAUCCUUCUGUAGGA